Long non-coding RNA from Oxyura jamaicensis (ruddy duck), 2329 nucleotides. RefSeq lists it as uncharacterized. Lineage: Eukaryota; Metazoa; Chordata; Aves; Anseriformes; Anatidae. The transcript has 2 exons. The record is from RefSeq and is a predicted model, not a curated record.
GCUUGUGGUGAAGCUGACAAGGGCUCCUUGCCCCGGAGCAAGUCUUGGCAUCUCCCCAUGCCUCAAUUCCCCUUGGUUUGGUGAAAUGCAGCCGCCUUCUGCUGUCCCACCCAUGCCAUGGCUUUGCCAUUUGCCCUGGGGUAUGGGACCCCCACCAAGAGGAGACCAGGUCUGGACCCACAGCAUCUCCAUGGGCUUCUGGCCUGCUUGGGCUCUCCAAGGGAUGCAGAUGGACGUGGGAGAAGCUCAAAGCAGCAGGGAGACAGUGGAGAGUCCCCAUGUUUGAAAGGCUUCCAGUGAGCUGUAGAAAGCGGGCAACUUUUCUGGAGCACACUGGGGAAAUCACCACAGGACAAGAAGUGUCCUCCUUGGCUCCCUGGGGCCUGAAUUUCAGCGUGCACCACACUUGCAGGUACCUUUGUGUGUGUCUUGUCCCCUGGGAUGCAGCAUGGUGACAUUGCCAACAUGAAAAUAUCUUCCUUUUGUUUUUCUCACACAAUGCUGUGUCCUGGAGGGGAGAGAUGAGAGGGACAUGGACCGAGCUCAGACCGUGCAGCCACCAGCAGGCAACUCACAGAGCUGCAGGAGCCUUUUGAUUUCCCUUAUUUUGGGAAAAAACAUCCCCCUCACCCCCCUAAAAAAAAAAAAAAAAAAAAAAAAAAAAAAGUGAAGAAAAAAAGGCAGUGAGGCGGUUAAUGAAGAGGCUCCUGCAGCCAAGGACGUUGAACCAUUCAUUAUUUUCCAGCACCUUUUCUUGCCUUUUACUUUAUUUGUCUUUGGCAGAAGGCGAUCGCUCUCCCCGCCCGCUCCUGCCGUUCGUGGGGCUGAUAGAUCUCUCCUUGGAGCCAAGAAUGGUCCCAUUAAAAAUGAAAGUAUGAAGCACAGCUUGAUUUUAAUUCCCUGCGUCAACAUUUCUGUAUAUGCAGGGGGAAAUAAAUUUAUAACGUUACACACACGCGUGCUGAAGACGGGGGUCCUGUUGAGUGCUGUCACUGAAGUGUUGCCUAAAGCUGAUGCCGUAUUGCUCUAAUUUCCAAGGAUUUUUUUUAAAGAAGCGCCUUUCAAGUCCCGGCACUAAGAAGUACAAAGCGAGCUCGGAGAUGGAGCACUUCUGUGUCAGCAGCGUCAAAGCAGGAUGCGGCUCCCCCGUGCCAACUUUCCUUUCUGUUUUAAAUCAUUUCUCGGAGAAAGAAAUGAAGAAAUCGGUGCAAGUUUAGGCAGCGUUUGGAGCUGAGGAGGAACCCUGGUCCUGUGGCUUCCCGGUGAUGUGGCACCUGGAUGCCAAGAAACUGCUCCUGCCGUCCCCUGGGGUUUGAAGAAUUUAGGUGAGCGAGGCUGGGGCUGUAUCUUGGAACCUGAAAAUGUACUCAAGGAGCUUUCUUUAGUCCCUGAUGCUCAGCUGAGAUGACCAAGGUGUUCCAAAAAAGUAAAAUCAGGAAUUUGGAGGUUGUGGAAUUGGAGGGGAAAACAGCACCGUGUGGCCUCAAACCCACUGCAUGAGAGCCGGGUGUCCUGCUCCUGGCACCAGGUGAGGUUUAGAAAUGAAGGAGGAGCUGAUUAAUGAAAGCUCCCCAAAUUUCUGCCUUGGGGUGCUUUCACAGCCAGCUUCACAACGUGACCACAGACGACAUGCUCCGAGAUGCUUGCAGAGGGCAGCGAUGACCGACCAGGGGCUGAAUUGUGCUGAUGGUGUCUAGGAGGAUGAGUGGGUUGGUGGCCAUCCCACAGCCACGAAGCACUGGGCGGUGAACAGGGAGAGCUGGUGGAACAUUGUCCAGCAACAGAGGGCUCCUUAUUGCUAUUUCUGCUGCUUCUUUCGUUCCCCAAGGCCCUGAGGCCAGUGGCACACAGUAGACUUCAUCAUGUCAUUAAAUUCCCCUACCUGCAGAACCAAGUGGCCACCCGCAAACUGCUGGGCUGAUGGGAUGACCCAUGCGUGAAUUUUCUAGGACCAUGGUGAGGCCAAAUUUGUGCCAGGAGGCACCAACAAUUCAGCAGUCAGGUAAAGCUGGCUCUCACCCUGAAAAAAUGAAGUUUCUUCUCAUUCUGCAGGAUAUUUGAAAAGGGGUGGGACGCAGCUUAGAGAGGACCAAGUCCUGGAGGAAGCAUCCUGAGAAAUAUUCUCGAGUUUCCUUUUAGUUCCUACCUCCCUCGGGUACCACCACGGUAGAAGAAGGCCAAGCUGCUGCCUGAGGGAUGAGGAGAAGGUGAACCCGCUUAUGGCCAUGUGGGAUGAAUUUGGUUUAGUGGCUUUUACCAAAGUCCUGGCCUUUUUGAGGUACGUGAAAAAAGACAAGAAAAAAUAAAUCACGCCUGCAGUUUUCAGCCA